This 70-nucleotide ribozyme is filed under the name Rodentolepis nana. Its description in RNAcentral is "Hymenolepis nana HDV ribozyme from F. prausnitzii". It matches the Rfam family "HDV ribozyme from F. prausnitzii". Lineage: Eukaryota; Metazoa; Platyhelminthes; Cestoda; Cyclophyllidea; Hymenolepididae. The record is from Rfam by way of RNAcentral.
AGUGUGCGAUAAACAUGCCUCCACGUGGUGCACACUGGGCAACGUAUUCUUAUACGGCAAAAAGUCUAUA